Molecule: ribosomal RNA, 601 nt
Filed under: uncultured soil bacterium
Lineage: Bacteria
Description: bacterial SSU rRNA
Rfam family: Bacterial small subunit ribosomal RNA
Source: RNAcentral
AAUCAACGCUGGCGGCGUGCCUAACACAUGCAAGUCGAACGGGAAAACAGGGGCAACUCUGUGAGUACAGUGGCGUACGGGUGAGUAACACGUGACUACCUACCUUCGAGUGGGGGAUAACCCCGGGAAACCGGGGCUAAUACCGCAUAACAUCGCAAGAUCAAAGGAGCAAUCCGCUUGAAGAGGGGGUCGCGGCUGAUUAGCUAGUUGGUAGGGUAAUGGCCUACCAAGGCGAUGAUCGGUAGCCGGCCUGAGAGGGCGCACGGCCACACUGGAACUGAAACACGGUCCAGACUCCUACGGGAGGCAGCAGUGGGGAAUUUUGCGCAAUGGGGGAAACCCUGACGCAGCAACGCCGCGUGGAGGAUGAAGUCCCUUGGGACGUAAACUCCUUUCGACCGGGACGAUUAUGACGGUACCGGUGGAAGAAGCCCCGGCUAACUUCGUGCCAGCAGCCGCGGUAAUACGAGGGGGGCGAGCGUUGUUCGGAAUUAUUGGGCGUAAAGGGCGCGUAGGCGGUGCGGUAAGUCACCUGUGAAAACUCUGGGCUCAACUCAGAGCCUGCAGGCGAAACUGCCGUGCUGGAGUGUGGGAGAGGUGC